Molecule: long non-coding RNA, 748 nt
Organism: Panicum virgatum (switchgrass)
Lineage: Eukaryota; Viridiplantae; Streptophyta; Magnoliopsida; Poales; Poaceae
Exons: 3
Source: RefSeq, a predicted model, not a curated record
AAUAAAAAUCGCCGCGUCUCCGCUUCGGUGGUUUGGCGGCAGCGCGACGGCAACGCGGCGACCUCCCCGGCAGCGGCUUUCCGCUCCAACAGCCGCCUUCUCGCCGUUUUAAGACAUGUGAGAUUUGAUUGGGAUAGAAGAUCAUCCUCAGUUUGCCUUUAGCAAGUGAUGUGAUUGGAGUAGAAGAUCUACACUCAAAAGGAUGUCACAAAAUCAAAGCUCGCUACCAUGGUCUGACCUCCCUCCAGACCUCCUCGGCUUGGUGUUCCUUCGUCUUCCUACCCGCGUCGACCGAGCCUUCUUUCCUGUCGUACGUUUGCCGCCAGUGGGCCUCCGCGGCGCGGCAGUGCCGCCUGCCCCUGCCGUUGCUCGUGCUUCCCAGUGGCAACGUCAUCAGCUUCCCUGAUAGCAAGACCUUCGUGGUGCCGGACGGCGUGCGCUACCACAACUCUUGUGGCGAGUGGCUUCUCUUGUCGCUCGAUGACAACAGCUGCUUCUUGAUGAACCCCUGGUCUUCAUACAGCUACUCUCUGUUACGCGGAUACUCCUAGAAGGUGGCGUAUCCGUAUCCGAUAUGUAUCGGAUACAGAUACGCUCCGGAUACGCCUCGGAUACGUUCCUAGCCGUAUCUUGAAAAAACGGAUACGUAUUUGCUUGGAUACGCGUAUCCGAUACUUUUGGGCCAGAUGGAAUACAGCCCAAAGCAGUAAUCAGCCCACCCAAAUGCUAUUUUGAUAGUAAGAGAUGA